ACAAGCGGUGAGUGCUUUGGGGUGGGGUGACUGCGUACCUUUUGUAUAAUGGGUCAGCGACUUAUAUUCUGUAGCAAGGUUAACCGAAUAGGGGAGCCGGAGGGAAACCGAGUCUUAAUUGGGCGUUAAGUUGCAGGGUAUAGACCCGAAACCCGGUGAUCUAGCCAUGGGCAGGUUGAAGGUUGGGUAACACUAACUGGAGGACCGAACCGACUAAUGUUGAAAAAUUAGCGGAUGACCUGUGGCUGGGGGUGAAAGGCCAAUCAAACCGGGAGAUAGCUGGUUCUCCCCGAAAGCUAUUUAGGUAGCGCCUCGUGAAUUCAUCUCCGGGGGUAGAGCACUGUUUCGGCUAGGGGGCCAUCCCGGCUUACCAACCCGAUGCAAACUGCGAAUACCGGAGAAUGUUAUCACGGGAGACACACGGCGGGUGCUAACGUCCGUCGUGAAGAGGGAAACAACCCAGACCGCCAGCUAAGGUCCCAAAGUCAUGGUUAAGUGGGAAACGAUGUGGGAAGGCCCAGACAGCCAGGAUGUUGGCUUAGAAGCAGCCAUCAUUUAAAGAAAGCGUAAUAGCUCACUGGUCGAGUCGGCCUGCGCGGAAGAUGUAACGGGGCUAAACCAUGCACC
RNAcentral lists this ribosomal RNA (627 nucleotides) under Salmonella enterica. Its description in RNAcentral is "partial 23S ribosomal RNA". It matches the Rfam family "Bacterial large subunit ribosomal RNA", at positions 566 to 1195 of the family's 2925-position model. The record is from RNAcentral. Lineage: Bacteria; Pseudomonadati; Pseudomonadota; Gammaproteobacteria; Enterobacterales; Enterobacteriaceae.